RNAcentral lists this ribosomal RNA (497 nucleotides) under uncultured bacterium. RNAcentral describes it as "partial 16S ribosomal RNA". It matches the Rfam family "Bacterial small subunit ribosomal RNA", at positions 28 to 507 of the family's 1533-position model. The record is from RNAcentral.
GACGAACGCUGGCGGCGUGCCUAAUACAUGCAAGUUGAGCGCUGAAGGAUGGUACUUGUACCAACUGGAUGAGCAGCGAACGGGUGAGUAACGAGUGGGGCAUCUGCCUUUGAGCGGGGGACAACAUCUGGAAACGACUGCUAAUACUGCAUCAAACCUUUAAACACAGGUUUUAAGUUUGAAUGAUGCAUUUGCCUCAUUCAAGGAUGAUCCUGCGUUGUAUUAGCUGGUUGGGGAGGUAAAGGCCCACCAAGGCGUUGAUACAUAGCCGACCUGGGGGGGUGAUCGGCCACAUUGGGACUGAGACACGGCCCAAACUCCUACGGGGAGCAGCAGUAGGGAAACUUCGGCAAUGGACGAAAGUCUUGCCGAACAACGCCGCGUGAGUGAAGAAGGUCUUCGGAUCGUAAAACUCUGUUGGUAGAGAAGAACGAUGGGGAGAGUGGAAAGCUCAUCAAGUGACGGUAACUACCCAGAAAGGGACGGCUAACUACGUG